AGACGGGAAGGAACUAACAUAUUCAAGCUUACUUCUGGCUGUGUCACUGACCCAACAGAGGCCAGUAGGUCCAGCAUGGCAAGCAUGGCUCCAGGAUGAAUGAUGACUGCAUCAGAACUCUGGAGAGAUGAAGUUGUCACAUGUAGUUUCAGGUCUGAGAAGCAGCCAAGAAAUCGAACAGCAUCUGCCAACUUCUCAUACUGAAUCUCUGUUUUGAAGAAAUGAGAGUUGGCUGGCUCAUAGCGCAUUGCUGCAGUCAACGUGCAGAACACAGUGUGAAGAAGUUCAAACACUUGAUUCUGGUUCACUUUCUCCCAGCCAUUCUUGGGUGGACAGCUCAAAGAUCUUUCCAUAGCAACGAGCAAGGAUGUAAUGUACACAAAUCCUCCAACUUUCCUAAAAACUGUUCUUGAACGAUGGCUUUCUCGAAGGACCGACAGGAGGGCCUACAGGAGACAAAAGAAAAAACAAAUGAAAAUACACAUAAUUAAAA
Molecule: non-coding RNA, 493 nt
Filed under: Pan troglodytes (chimpanzee)
Lineage: Eukaryota; Metazoa; Chordata; Mammalia; Primates; Hominidae
Source: RNAcentral